This 497-nucleotide ribosomal RNA is filed under the name uncultured bacterium. RNAcentral's name for it is "partial 16S ribosomal RNA". It matches the Rfam family "Bacterial small subunit ribosomal RNA", at positions 28 to 507 of the family's 1533-position model. The record is from RNAcentral.
GAUGAACGCUGGCGGCGUGCCUAAUACAUGCAAGUCGAGCGAACAGACGAGGAGCUUGCUCCUUUGACGUUAGCGGCGGACGGGUGAGUAACACGUAGGUAACCUACCUAUAAGACUGGGAUAACUUCGGGAAACCGGAGCUAAUACCGGAUAAUAUUUCGAACCGCAUGGUUCGAUAGUGAAAGAUGGCUUUGCUAUCACUUAUAGAUGGACCUGCGCCGUAUUAGCUAGUUGGUAAGGUAACGGCUUACCAAGGCAACGAUACGUAGCCGACCUGAGGGGGUGAUCGGCCACACUGGAACUGAGACACGGUCCAGACUCCUACGGGAGGCAGCAGUAGGGAAUCUUCCGCAAAGGGCGAAAGCCUGACGGAGCAACGCCGCGUGAGUGAUGAAGGUCUUCGGAUCGUAAAACUCUGUUAUUAGGGAAGAACAAACGUGUAAGUAACUGUGCACGUCUUGACGGUACCUAAUCAGAAAGCCACGGCUAACUACGUG